Molecule: ribosomal RNA, 468 nt
Filed under: uncultured bacterium
Lineage: Bacteria
Description: partial 16S ribosomal RNA
Rfam family: Bacterial small subunit ribosomal RNA
Source: RNAcentral
GACGAACGCUGGCGGCGUGCUUAACACAUGCAAUUCUAACGGAAAGGCCCUGCUUUUGUGGGGUGCUCGAGUGGCGAACGGGUGAGUAACACGUGAGUAACCUGCCCUUGACUUUGGGAUAACUUCAGGAAACUGGGGCUAAUACCGGAUAGGAGCUCCUGCUGCAUGGUGGGGGUUGGAAAGUUUCGGCGGUUGGGGAUGGACUCGCGGCUUAUCAGCUUGUUGGUGGGGUAGUGGCUUACCAAGGCUUUGACGGGUAGCCGGCCUGAGAGGGUGACCGGCCACAUUGGGACUGAGAUACGGCCCAGACUCCUACGGGAGGCAGCAGUGGGGAAUAUUGCACAAUGGGCGGAAGCCUGAUGCAGCAACGCCGCGUGCGGGAUGACGGCCUUCGGGUUGUAAACCGCUUUCGCCUGUGACGAAGCGUGAGUGACGGUAAUGGGUAAAGAAGCACCGGCUAACUACGUG